This 254-nucleotide ribosomal RNA is filed under the name uncultured bacterium. Its description in RNAcentral is "partial 16S ribosomal RNA". It matches the Rfam family "Bacterial small subunit ribosomal RNA", at positions 524 to 776 of the family's 1533-position model. The record is from RNAcentral.
UACAGAGGGUGCGAGCGUUGUCCGGAAUCACUGGGCGUAAAGGGCGCGUAGGUGGUGGCUUAAGCGUGCGGUGAAAGCUCGGGGCUCAACCCCGAGUCGGCCGUGCGAACUGGGCUCACUGGAGCAUAGUAGAGGCAGGUGGAAUUCCGGGUGUAGCGGUGGAAUGCGUAGAGAUCCGGAAGAACACCGGUGGCGAAGGCGGCCUGCUGGGCUAUGGCUGACACUGAGGCGCGACAGCGUGGGGAGCAAACAGG